GCCCGGGUGGCGGAAUUGGCAGACGCUGGGGACUUAAAAUCCCUUGUCCGAAAGGACGUGCGGGUUCGAGCCCCGCCUCGGGUA
This 84-nucleotide transfer RNA is filed under the name Verrucomicrobiota bacterium. RNAcentral's name for it is "Verrucomicrobia bacterium (microbial mat metagenome) tRNA-Leu". It matches the Rfam family "tRNA". From Rfam's summary of the family: Transfer RNA (tRNA) molecules are approximately 80 nucleotides in length. Their secondary structure includes four short double-helical elements and three loops (D, anti-codon, and T loops). Lineage: Bacteria; Pseudomonadati; Verrucomicrobiota. The record is from RNAcentral.